GGGGAAUAUUGGACAAUGGGGGCAACCCUGAUCCAGCCAUGCCGCGUGAGUGAUGAAGGCCUUAGGGUUGUAAAACUCUUUUAUCCGGGAAGAUAAUGACUGUACCGGAAGAAUAAGCCCCGGCUAACUUCGUGCCAGCAGCCGCGGUAAUACGAAGGGGGCUAGCGUUGUUCGGAAUCACUGGGCGUAAAGCGCACGUAGGCGGAUUGUUAAGUCAGAGGUGAAAUCCCGGAGCUCAACUUCGGAACUGCCUUUGAUACUGGCAAUCUCGAGUCUGGAAGAGGUUAGUGGAACUGCGAGUGUAGAGGUGAAAUUCGUAGAUAUUCGCAAGAACACCAGUGGCGAAGGCGGCUAACUGGUCCAGUACUGACGCUGAGGUGCGAAAGCGUGGGGAGCAAAC
RNAcentral lists this ribosomal RNA (400 nucleotides) under uncultured bacterium. RNAcentral describes it as "bacterial SSU rRNA". It matches the Rfam family "Bacterial small subunit ribosomal RNA", at positions 356 to 773 of the family's 1533-position model. The record is from RNAcentral.